This is a non-coding RNA of Drosophila suzukii, 323 nucleotides long. NCBI's taxonomy places the organism in Eukaryota, Metazoa, Arthropoda, Insecta, Diptera, Drosophilidae. The record is from RefSeq and is a predicted model, not a curated record.
AAAAAAUAUGUAAAACUCGCUAAGAAGAUGUAAAGUCGCUAAGCAAUUUAGAAUUCAUGCAAGACUGGCCAAAAUUAGAUCGAGAUUGACUUCGAUUUCCUUUACCGAAGAAAGACAAAUCUCCUGUUCGAUAGGUGGAACAGCUUUAAGGACAAACUUCUGAUAUAUUUCAAACGGCACAUCCACAACGAAGACUGCAAGCGACAACUACUUGAUGUAGAACGCCAACGUUGAUGCCCAGGAUUACUUGACCCUUAUUUUGCUUAAUGCCGCCGACAUCUCGGAUCUUGAAUCAAAACGGGAAAAGGAACCAAAAACCGACA